Molecule: long non-coding RNA, 21737 nt
Filed under: Triticum aestivum (bread wheat)
Lineage: Eukaryota; Viridiplantae; Streptophyta; Magnoliopsida; Poales; Poaceae
Description: long non-coding RNA (TAES_LNC009025)
Source: RNAcentral
UUUUUUUUCACAACUUCAUUUGUUCAUCGGAUGAUUUGUCCUUGAAUGACGAAGAGAUUGUGGUGGCUACAUUGGUCGUCCAUGACCACAUCGCUAGGCAGCGGCCUAGGUUCAAGGAUCAGUCCAGGGCGCGCUCCGGCCUUGAACCACAAUAGGGAGAGCGGCCACGCCUAGGUUCAGGAGAUUAUUUCCUUUUCAUGUGUUGAAGACAAUUUAAAUUGGGUUGUAAAACUAUUUGAUUGUGUUUGUGUUCGGAUGUGAAACUAUUUGAUUGUUAAACUAUUUGCAAUGUUUGAUUUAUUUGUUUGUAACUAUUUGCAAUGUGUAUAGUUUAAAAAAUGUAUGCACGGAGGCUCCAGCCGACCGUGGCGGACAAGAUGUUUGGGCGCAUAGUCGGCGCAUCCAAAAAAACGACCGGACGUUGUCUCCAUUGCUCUACCGAAACGGACAAGAUUAAUGUUUGUUUGGGGUCAUUGAAGCAGACCUGAGACGGUUGGUUGCUGUGCAUGUCCCUGUCUCGCCGCCGCGGUUGUAUCAUUGCUGAUGCAAGCGUGCGCGCGCGCGAGGAGUGGAGGAGACCUGCUACAUCCGCAACCUCCUAGGAGUGCGGCGUGACCUGGCUUUUCCUUUUAAUGGCUAUUUUACGGAGGACAAAAAGGAACGAGAGAGAGAGGUGUGGGCCAACAUAGUCAGCCAGAGUAGUGUGUGAUCCCGACCGGGAUCGUGUUUUUCCCAGUGGACUAAACAACAUCGAACAGGUUUGAGGUUGAGCUUAGACCCGAAUCACUGAAUAUAGGGUGUCAGACUUCAGGGAUUCGAAGUUCUGGGUUUGAUUUCGACUGGCUCUACAAAUUUAAGAUUUAAAAUAGACUUCACUCACUGCUGAAUGGUAUAUGAAAGAAAUGAAAGACACAAGCAACUGCCGAAGAAGAAGCAUAUGCUCCAACCCCGUGUUGGUGUGGCCCGUUGAAUACUGCUAUUACAUUGGAUGCCAGUCAGCACAUUGGCUCCUGCCAUCAGCCGAAUUAAACUCAAGCCCGCGACACAAUCAGAGUUGUCACUUGUCAGAGGACAUACAACCAAACAACUUUGGUGUAGACCCCGACAACUCUAAACAGGAACUCUUAGUCACAACCAAUUUCUUCAAUUACCUGAACGUAUGACAAGCAUUCAGAAACCAUAAAUUAGAGAACAAUAAUAAUAACUACUAACAUGACAAUUGCAGUCUCAUAUAUCAAAAAGACAUGGAUAUGACAUUUAAUACAACUCCAGGGGUUAUCCUCCUUUACAAAGAUUUUUUUUACCAAUGAAACAGUGUUGUACCUGGGACCAAUCAGGAGAUAAAUACCACAUGCACACCCCUUGUUAUUUCAACAAGGCGCAACACCUUUCAGCACAUUGUGGGUUUAGCAGACAACCCUUGUUAUUUCUGCAAGGCAUGUUCCAUGUUAUUUCAGUAAGGGACGACACCACUAACUCAAGCUGCACCAACCAAAAUGGCAUAACACACCAUUGUGAAGGACUCACUACACUGUAAGCACAGCUCUCACUGCUUGAGUGUUCUAGCAGAGCUGAGAAGGUUAGGUAGUUCUAGUUUCUUCAGCUCGGUCUCUGUUGCUCUCAGCCUCGGAAUGACAACUUCAGAAUCCUGUGCAGCUAUCCUCUUCCACAGCUCACUCCAAGUAGGGCGCAGGUAGCAGUACUCGUGAAACAUGAGCCCUCUCGUCCACUCGCGGUGACGGCAGUAGGUGGCCAGAUGAUCGAUGAGGGUAAAAGGCCGCACUGAGGUUGGAAGCACCCCAUUCCUGAUGUCUUGUGACUGGCUCCGUGUCACCGUGCUCUCGAACAAGCCAUUAUCAAGUGAGUACACCUUAACAGGGUCCUCACUGGGCUUGGCAAAGUAGACACAGUUGGCGCUAAUCGAAGGAAGAUCCCUGGAUGAGACGGACAAGCACCGGUCGCGGCUGAUGAACAGCGCCCGGUCGCCGAGGCUGGUCACCCGCACGAGCUCCCGACGGCGACAAGCAUGGCUCCCAUGGACUCCACAAGGUAGUAGAGGUAGCUCUCAGCAUAACCAAGCUCUUUUGGCACCUCGGCCACCACCAGAUUGGCAUGCGGAUCAUGAUGAACUGGAUACACCUGCACCAGCUGCCUCCCAGCUCGCGUCACACCGUAUAGCCCGCCGUUGAACGGCAAAGUGUUGGAGAAUUGGAUAUUGGUGUGGAUGAUCUUCCAGCCCUUGUCACCGGGCUGAGCGCAGAUCACCAAGGGCAUGUUGGGGAACCAGAUCACGACGGCAAUGGAGCUGGGGCCGGCGACACACACCGUGGCGUUCAUCCAGACGAACGAGUCCAUGGUGAACGAUUCCUGCUUGCUGAGCACACAGUGGAUGAAGGUGGCCAGGUGGGGCAGCUCGACGACGACGCGGGUGAAGGGGUGGACAACACGGAUGACUGCGGCGCGCGUGUCAAGCACGAUUAGGAGGCCGUCAGUGAAGCCGACGAUCCGGUGCCGCCGGAGCCCCGGCAGGGAGAGCCUGGAAACCCUGCUGGUGGCCGUGUGGAAGAAGGUGAUCGCGGCGUCUUCGACCGGGCGGACGCCGUUGCCGUCGCAGAGGGCGACCCAGCCACGCGGGUGGAAGCGGCGGGCGGCCAGCGUGGCGUCCCGCGGGCUGACCGUCGACGCGCGCCAGUGCGAGCACACGAAGCGGAACCGCAUGUACUCCGUCAUGUCCUCCGCCAGCAGCCGCUCGGCGAUGAGGCUGGUGAUGUCGGGGUGGAGCGACGUCCAAUCCGGUGCCUCCGCCUCCGCCGUCGCCCGGCGCUUACUAGGGAACGCGUCGGCGUCGCCGUAUGCCCUGCGCUUGCCUCCCAAUACCGGCGCCCCCAUCCUCUUCCCCCGUGCGCCGCCCCUCCGUCCACACUCCCCCGGCGGCCGGAACAGGGAGAAUACCUUUCCCCUGUGCGCCGCCACACUCCGCCGGCGGCCGGCACAAAAAGGUGAGACCUUUCCCCGGGCAAGAAGACCUAGAUCUGGCGAGAUCGAGUGGAUCGCCUCGCCUCGGGGACGGGCGCUCCCCUGCCGGGCCAGUAAAUAUAUAGUCGCUAGGGACUAGGCGCCGCUCCGAGAGGCCACCGUAUUCGUCUCCCUCCGGAGUCCGAAAUGCAGCCGGCUCCGACGAAGUUCGGAACUCGACUUGAAGGAGUAGAUCGAGCGGUAACCGCGUCGAUCCAGUCCGAUUGAGCCCCGGGGCGCGUGGGAGGUGGGUGGGGAGGGGGUCCUCNNNNNNNNNNNNNNNNNNNNNNNNNNNNNNNNNNNNNNNNNNNNNNNNNNNNNNNNNNNNNNNNNNNNNNNNNNNNNNNNNNNNNNNNNNNNNNNNNNNNNNNNNNNNNNNNNNNNNNNNNNNNNNNNNNNNNNNNNNNNNNNNNNNNNNNNNNNNNNNNNNNNNNNNNNNNNNNNNNNNNNNNNNNNNNNNNNNNNNNNNNNNNNNNNNNNNNNNNNNNNNNNNNNNNNNNNNNNNNNNNNNNNNNNNNNNNNNNNNNNNNNNNNNNNNNNNNNNNNNNNNNNNNNNNNNNNNNNNNNNNNNNNNNNNNNNNNNNNNNNNNNNNNNNNNNNNNNNNNNNNNNNNNNNNNNNNNNNNNNNNNNNNNNNNNNNNNNNNNNNNNNNNNNNNNNNNNNNNNNNNNNNNNNNNNNNNNNNNNNNNNNNNNNNNNNNNNNNNNNNNNNNNNNNNNNNNNNNNNNNNNNNNNNNNNNNNNNNNNNNNNNNNNNNNNNNNNNNNNNNNNNNNNNNNNNNNNNNNNNNNNNNNNNNNNNNNNNNNNNNNNNNNNNNNNNNNNNNNNNNNNNNNNNNNNNNNNNNNNNNNNNNNNNNNNNNNNNNNNNNNNNNNNNNNNNUAAGACAUAGGAGGGACAAAAAAAACAGUCAAAAAAGCAUAGGAAUUGUAGAGAAUUAGCAUCCACAUGGUUAGCAAAGACUCAGAUCUGGAAAAGCAGGUGCUGUUCCAAAAAAACACAUGCUUGUAGGCAAGUUGAGUCGACAGGGUUGGCAAGUUGAGUUAUAUCUGCAGGCAAGUUCUGUUUCCCCCCUAGUUUUUGUUGGGAUGUAUGGAUUUACACUAGUUUCUGGAAAAAUGUAGGCAAAUCAUGUUCUGUUUCCAGGCAAUUGCUGUAAUGUAAAAAAAUUGGGCAAGUGUUGUAAUGUAAUGCAGGCAAGUCUUGUCCUAGUGCAGGCAAGUGCUGUAAUGUAAUGCAGGCAAGUCUUGUUCUAGAACAGAUAGUAGUACCUAAUAAGAUGCCUUCUUUUGGACAUUGUGAAAAAAUUUCAAGAUCAGCUGUAAAAUUUCAUGUAUAGUGGGGCUAGCCAAGUUGAUGAGAUAAAAAAUGUGGGCAAGUACUGUAAUACAAAUGUAGGCAAGUCCUGUUUCUACUACAGGCAAGUGUUGUAAAAAUAGAAGUUUUUUAUUCAGUAAUGCAGAAAAGAUAUGUAGCAUGAGAGAUAGGUAGAAAGAAGUACCUAAUAAGUUGCCUUCUUUUCGACUUCCUUGCCAACUUCACAACCUUACUACCAAUAAAAAAUGGUGCUUCAGUAUUUGUGAAUCCUGUAUACAAAACCUGUGGCAACCCCAGAUAGAACUUUGGCAGAAGUGAACCAGAAAGCUACGAGACAUUAGGCAAAUGAACAACAUAGUAGUAUAAGGAUGUUCUGCAAACGAGUUAUACAAAGCUAUGUCAUGUCCAAGCACGCAUGUUCGAAACACAUAUCAUAUAUGGUCCACGGCAUCACAAAAAGCUAACGAAAAAAGAAAAGAAAAACUACAUAGUAUUCUUCUGCCUUGUUCAUAUAUCUGCCACUGUAACUUCAUCAGACACGAAGAAAAUGGAGAAUCAUAAGCCAUCUCUUUCGCUUUUUCGCAUUUCCUGAUAAAGAACAAAGGAUAAACAGAAAAACAUUAAAAAGAGCCGCUGUUGCAGAAUGAAGGGCAUUGAAAGAUAUUAAAUGCAAGACAGAAAAUGAACAUUCAUUAUUGCAUCAAAUCUAUAUUGAACAUUUGCUUCUAGAGUUGCCUUAUUUAGUUGCCUGUAAAAUCAUUAUUUCCUUUUUGUCAAAACAGGGUGGAGAUGAUUGACUUAAAUGAAUUGCCUGAUGAUGAUGGUCAUUCUGAAGUGCGUUUUACGGGUGGAAUUGGAGUUGAAGACCCCAUGUACUGCACGCAGCCUAAUGCCCCACUACCUGGUGGUGUCUACAAUGAAGUUGUAGGAGAAUCGCCUAAUCCCAUCAGCACCCAACAUGCUCCUGCUGUGCCUGAAGAAGCUAUGCAGACAGAAGGCGACACUUACGAUGACACAACAACGUUUGCUGAAACAGGUGGAACUAUUGGACAAGGGGUUGUGGGAAAUGAUAAUGACGAUGAAGCUUGGUCCCAACCAAGAGAGCCUUUCAUAGGCAUGAGGUUUGAUACUCUUGAGUGUGCUCAAGAACACUACAAUGCCUACGCUCUCCGACUUGGGUUUUCAAUCAAGAUGAACACUUCUAGGAAAAACACAAAAACUGGAAAGCUGGAGAAGCAACAAUUUGUUUGCAACAAGUUUCGAAAACCAAAAGUUGAUGAUGGAGGUGCGGAAACUGUCCCUGCCCUAGAUGUGAUUGAGGACACUAAUGGAGAUGCAGAAGAUGGUGCGGACGAUGAGAUCGCCUUCCUUGAUGAUGAGUGCAGGAAAAAAAGAAGUCUAAGAAAAGAAAGCGGGAUAUAAUAGUGCAGACAGGGUGCAAAGCAAGGAUGGUUGUGAAGCUAAAGGAUAGUCGGUGGGAGGUGGUUUUCUUUAUUGCUGAACACAAUCAUGCAUUGGUUGAUAAGCCAUCACUAACUAAGUACCUUCGAUCACACCAAGGCAUCCCCCCAGAAGAGAAACUGUUCCUGAAAAAUCUUCAUAAUUGUAAUUUGACCACAGGUGUGUGCACUUUUCAAAGAAUACAUUCUGCAUUACUACAUUAGCAUUCCAAAAAACUGUGUUUACAUUUCAUGCAAAAAAACACUCUGCAUUUACUACACUUGUUUUAGUGCUCCAACAUAGUCACCUUGACAACUUGAGCAACUUGGGAAGCACAGCUGCAGCAACUAGUUGCAAACCAAAAAAAUACAGGCAACCUGGCAGCUAUAAGUUAAGCAAAUUGGGUAUGCAGCCUGAGCAAUUUGUGGCUUCUACUAGGUAGGCAACCUGACAGUUAUAGGUUAAGCAAGUUGGGUAUGCAGGCUGAGCAACUUGUGGUUAUCUACUAGGUAGGCAACCUGACUGUUAUAGGUUAGGCAAGUUGUGUAUGCAAACUGAGCAACUUGUGGUUCUCUAGUAGGUAGGCAACUUGCCAGUUAUAUGUCAGGCAAGUUAUGUAUGCAAAUUGAGCAACUUGUGGUUCUCUAGUAGGUAGGCAACUUGCCAGUUAUACGUCAGGCAAGUUGUGUAUGCAAAAUUGAGCAACUUGUGGUUCUGCUACAUAGGCAACCUGAUAGUUAUAUGUCAAGCAAGUUGUGUAUGCAACUUGAGCAACUUGUGCAUUGAAGCCUGAUUUUUUUGGCUGCCUUUUGUUGCAGGUCGUAUGAUGAACAUCAUGUCUGAAUUUUAAGGUUCAGAGCUAAUUGUGCCUUACACAACUAAAGCGAUAUCAAAUCUGAAAUCAGGCUUGAAUACGUUUGACACAAAGGAGGGAGAUAUGAUCGAGAUAGUUUCCUACUUCAAGGAUCAACAACAAAAUGACCCUGAUUUUUUCUACAAGGUCAAAUAUGAUGAGGAGGAUAGGGUUGUCAAUAUGUUCUGGGUUGAUGGAGCAACACGUAGGGCGUAUGCUGAGGCUUAUCAUGAUUGUGUCUCUUUUGACACAACAUACAUGACAAACAUGUAUAACAUGCCAUUUGCGCCAUUCAUUGGUAUCAACCGCCAUGGACAGUCGAUCAUGUUGGGGUGUGGGUUUGUUAGGUAAGAGUUGGAAACAAGCUUUGAUUGGUUGUUUGGGGCGUUUCUUGAAGCAAUGAGUGGUCAAGCACCUGACAACAUCAUAACUGACCAAGAUAUUGCAAUGGCUGAAUCGAUUAAGAACAUUUUCCCUGGAACUGUGCAUCGGCGAUGUCAUUGGCACAUCAUGAAAAAAGCUCAAGAGAAGCUCGGGUCAAUGUUGGGCAGGAACCCUGGAUUGUCAAAGGAUUUCAACACAUGUGUAGACUUUAGCUUCACACCGGAAGAAUUUGAGGCAAAAUGGGCUGCUCUAAUGAUGAAAUAUCAGGCUGCUAUUAGCACACACUUUGACAAACUCUACGAGUACUGUGCAACAUGGGUGCCGUGCUACUUCAAGCACCGGUUCUACCCAUUCCUACAAUCGACACAAAGAAGCGAGGGGUUCAAUGCUGUGCUGAAGCGGUAUGUGAACCCACAUGGCUCUAUCCUAAACUUUGUGAAGCAGUAUGAAAAGAUUCAAACACAUGUGCUUGUGCGGGAGGGUGUGCAAGAUUAUAGGAUAGAGCACUUGCAAACUGAUUUGUGGUCACCUUUCCCCAUUGAGAAGCAGGCAUACGAAACAUACAGUAGAGACUUGUACAAAAAGUUUCGUAAUGAGUUUGAAAUGAUUGGGAGGUACAAUGUACGUCCCCGGGGUGCACAUUUAUAUGAGCUUGAACCUAAUCAGGAAUGGGUUGCUAAGUAUGGGGACAGGCACUACUUUGUGUCCGUUGAAAGUGAUGCAGGCAACUACACUUGCGAGUGCUGCAAGAUGGACAGAGAUGGUAUCCUCUGCUGCCAUAUCUUGAAGGUAUUUACCCACCUUGGAGUGGAUGAAAUACCACCGCAAUACAUUCUUAAGAGGUGGACUCCCCUAGCAGUUCCUGAUGCGCCCCCCGCCGUCCAAGAACAAGCAGAUGAAAUGCCCCCUUUGUCAAAGAAGCAAAUGCGACAUACAAACCUGCAGAUGGAUUUUGCAAGCUUGGCCAAAGUUGCCUGUGCAUCCGAUGCUGCUGCAGAAGUUCUGAAGAAGCAUAUGUGUGCGGCUCGAACGGAGCUUACACGCUAAAAUUGACCAAGAAAAAGAAACCUCCAGUGGCUACGCGUGCCAGACGCACUCAGCCUGAAACAACUACUGAUGCUCCCACUCAGCCACCAUCGUUUUCGGUGCAAACACCUGCUCCAUCUCGUAGUGGGAAUACGCAAACAACUACUGGUGCUCCGCCGCCGCCGCCCUCAGAGGGUGCUGGAGGCUCAGGUGCUCCUGUUCCACUGUAGCCUGACACCCCUAGAGGUUCUGCACCUACUCCAACUAUUCCAAGGGACACACCGAAGUCCAACACGAAAGGGAGAGCGAAGUCUAAACGAAUUGAAUCAGCACUGGAACUACACCCCAAAAGGAAGAAAAAAUGUAGUUUCUAUGGUUCUGUUGACCACAAUGCAGCGAGCUGCGAGGCAAGAUUGGUGUGAAGGCCAAAGGAGGAAGCGAAAAAAUGCCCCCAAGUUUUUUUGUCAUUGUUCAAUGAGAGAGCUCAUGAAGCUGUAUUGACAUUUUGGGCAACUUAGAACCAUUUUUGUCGUGUGCUUGAUACUUGGUGUUGAUUUUUCAUUUGUCCUUGCUGUGACCAUAUAUACGUUUCUUUUCCUUGCUUAAGCAAAGUGGUAGUUGGUAAAACAUUUGUGAAAAACGGAGGCACUAUUUGCUAGCAUUCCUAUAACUACUUGCCUGCUCUUCUUAAAAGAGUUUGUCUAGUUUCAAAAUAUUUUUUUGCGUUCCAACUUUGGCCAAGUACAUGAACUAUGAUCCCAUAGGUACUUGAUGGUCAAAAAUAGCAAAAUUCACUGAAUGAGUGCAAAAAAAAGGAAGGUGUGAUAAAAAAUACCUACGGUAGUUCCAGGAUUUCCUUCCAAGGAGCUUUGUUGUGAAUAUCUGAGACCCAGAUGCUUGUCAGCUGCUUCCUGAUGUUUGGAAUAUCACUUGGUUCGUAUUUUGGAACAGCCCUAGCAACCCAUUUGUUGGUGUUCAUCAGCCCGUAAAUGCCACAGUCGGUGCUGUUUGUAACAAACAGGAGGCAAGAAAAAUUUGUUUGAGAAACUGCACGUAAGUAAAAACUGGUUUUUGAAUAAUUGAUAUUGGGAGAAGUUGCUUACUCAUUGUUCUGCCUCGGGACAUCGAUGUCGACUAGCGGAUACUUAUCCAGCACAACACGUGAGUGGCCAUAAUGAUGCUCCCAUAAACUACGAACAGUUGCUGCUAUCAACCUAGCGUUCUUGUCCAAGACAGGAUUGUCUAGUGUCCUCCAGGAAUCAAGGACUUCGAACCUCUUGUCUCUUAUGUUCAAGUUAAACACCCAGUAAUGAUUCCCUGAUACUGGUUUUUCUAGAUCAAUGUUCUCUAGGAUAGGAAACAUAAUCUGGAUAGAAAAGCAUUUUCCAGAAAAAACAAAUACGAGAUGCUUGUAAAGAAUAUGAGGCAAUUUGAAUGCUUGUAAAAAAAUGAGGCAAUUUGAGAAGAAAGUACUUAGAAAAGAAAAGAGGGGAAAACAUUUUUUGAUGAGGCAACUUACAGGUACAACUGAGGCAACUACAUGUUUCAUAACAAGCAAGUUUAUGUGGUUUCCUUAAGUUUCAUGCUACACAAAGUUCUCCCCCGAAGCAAGGUGCAACGAAAUAUAAAAAGGUUGAGACUGAGGGCUAUCUAAAAAAUUGAGCUAGACUUGUCAUUCUACGGAAAGGAACAUAAACAACUUGCCAACUAUAUUUGAGACAAGAACUUGCAAGAUGAUGAGGCAAGUACUUGUAAUUGAUGAGGCAACUACUGGGUUAGGUAAUUCAAGCAAAAAAAUAAAAAGCAAGCAACUUACAGCUACAAAUGAGGCAACUACAUGUUUCAUAGCAGGCAGCUUUGUGGUUUUCUUAACUUCAUGUUACACAAUUGAUUCCCUUGAAGCAAAGGUGCAACGAAUAUAAAAAAGGUUCUAGACUUGUCAUUCUACACUUGCCAACUAUAUUUUUGAGGAAACAACUUGUAAGAUGAUGAGGCAUGUACAUGUAAUUGAUGAGGCAACUACUGGAUCAGGUAAUUCUUUCCUGAAAAAACCAAGCAACUUACAGCUACAAUUGAGGCAACUUCAUUUUUCAUAGCAGGCAAGUUGUGUGAUUUUCUUGACUUUCAUGUUACACAAGUUCUUUCCUGAAGCACAGGUGUAUUGAAUAAAAAAAGGUUAAGUCUGUGUCUCUCUAAAAAUUUGGGCUAGACUUGUCAUUCUAAGAGAACAACAUAAACAACUUGCCAACUAGAUUUGAGGCAAGAAUUUUUGGAAGAUGAUGAUACAAGCACUUGCAAAAAAUGAUGAGGCAACUAGUGGUUUAGGUAAUUACAGGGCAAAAAAGAAAAAGUCGCAGCUUGUUAACUUCUAUUGUUUGAAGCAAGUAGUUGCAACUUGUUACGACUUGCCAGCAAACUAAAAAAAAUAGUGUACUCACCAUGUCUUUUCGGUCCAAGUGAUUUGACUUGUUAAACCUGGCAGUAAUCUCUUUUGUAGUCCAUACCAUCUGUUGUAACCUGACCUGUAGAAAACAGAUAGACAGAAACGGAGCGAAUGAUGGAAUUUCCAUCAAGAAGGGGAGCAAAAAAGGCAAAAAGGACACUGUAAGGUGCAACUCUUACCGAGAAUUUAACUGGCAUGAUAACCUUCUUCGAGUCUGCUGGCAGGUUGUAAAUUAUAGACUGUAACCCAACUUGGAAAACAUGCGAAACGACGAAACCACCACACUUCAUGGACUCCGCAAGCUCCCUCGCAGAUACAAAGUAUCUAUCGAAGUCGAUGAUUCUUGGGCUGUACAAUAAAUUUGCACAGGACAAAAUAGAAAAGCAUGAAAAUGUAAACCUGCCUAUACAUGAGUAUUAUAGCUGCCUGAAAAAACAACAAUGAAGACGGUGACGUUACAUACAUGUUAUCUGUAUCGGGCGAUUCUUCUGCACUGCGCCUUGCAUGCAAAAUAACAGAUGCAUAUAAGCGGUUGACUUCGGGUUUGCAAUAGAAUUCCUUUUUGUUGUCAAUGCCCGUGAAAGGUGAUCUCAAAGAUGCUGAUGGCUUGAUGAGCCUCCUCUCAAAUUUGUUCGUAAUUACCUCCCCUGAACUGCUACUGCUAGAAAACUUACCACCUGACCCCACAUCUAUUUCAUUGUUCAUUUUCUCUGGUGUACUAAACAUAGCAGAAUUAACUGAAUAUUUCCCCCUUCGCUCUGCUUCAGCACAUGCUGCCUCUAGUUCCUCUUCGUCCCACACAACAUCAUCAAGGUCUAUUACUUCUCUUAUGCUCGCUGUUGCGAUAUCCUCUGUUUGCAUGUUAAGAACUUCAUCCCAUUUGUUGAUGUCCUUAUCUCCAUCUUCAGGGCCAGGUUCCAACUCAUCGAAAAUCACUCCAAAACUGGGAGCUGGGCAGUAGUCAUUGCACAUCCCGGACAACCUUCUACUCUUGAGUUCGUUGGCUGGCUCUUCAACUAUUGUCUGUGGUGGGAUGUGGAUGGGAGCAUUUGUUGGAGCAACACACUUGUCUAUAAUUUCAUUUAUUUUGUCUAUAUCAACAGUUUGAUGCUUGUGUGGUACCGGUGGCCAGUUCUCCUUGUUUGCCUCACCUUGGAGAUGUCUUGGAGGCAAACUCAGGUUGGUCUUUAGUAACUUUGCUGCCGGUCCUACAUGUCUUACAUCAGUCCCUGCAGGCAUCAUCUGUUCAGUGCCCUUCAGCUUGUUCUCUGGCGCUGCUUUAUUUCCACCGGUCAUAUCUGAGGUGGCAGGUUGGUGGUUCCUUGCAGGCAAGUCAGCAAUAGUAUUGGGCAAGUUCUGGUUGGGUAGUUGCACUGUUUGUUUCCCAGCCAUUGUAGUUGAAUUGGCAAGCUGAGGGGGCCUUGCAGCCAAAACAACAACAUGGCUAGGCAACUUCUCCUCUGGCACUGGUCUUAUUCCACCAGUCGUGUGUGAGGUGGCAGGUUGCUGGCUCCUUGCAGGCAACUCAAUAACAUUGUUGGGCAACUUCUCGAAAGGCACUGGUUGUUUUGGAUCAUUCUUUUGCACAGGAUCAACCUGAGGACUCUGGGCAGACAACUUAACGAUAGACCUAGGCAACACAUCCAGUUGGCCUUGUUGUUUUGUACCAGGGUCUGGAAAGUUGUCAAUGUGUCGGUUCUCAUCAAGCAACUUCUCUCCUGUGGUUGGCAACUUCCCCAUUAAACUUGCUUGUUUGAUAGUGCCAGGUUUGCAGCCUUGCUCAACCGGCUUCUGAACACUGUAAGUUGCCUGACAUUUUGCUUGACUUGCCUUGUUAGCCAACAUAGUUGCCUGUUGAACUUUUCCAGUUUGGCCUCUAUGUUUGAGUGAUGGUGUCAGUGCCUUUGGUUGCAUCCUUUCUGCAACUGCAACAGGGUUUGGGUCCAGGUUGAACGACACUCUCUUUUGCUUCCUUGGUGCAAUUGAUAGUAAAUCUUUCUUAGAAAAUGCUUGCGGCAGAUUUAUUCCAUAAACUGCUCGCAUGAGUUAAGUCUGCAUUUUGAGGGGACAUGACUCCUCAUGAUUGAAUUUGAUGCCUGUUUCUCUUUCCUCCUCGUGAAACACCAUCUGAUCGAAUAAUGUCCUCGCAUAUAAGUGGGGUUUCCGCCCAUCAAACACUUGUGGCAAUUCAAGUUCCUUUUGAAAAGGGUCCCACUGCUUCUUGAACUCCAUCUUGACAAUAUCUAUAAGUGAAAAUGUUUCUGCAGCAUCUGCUGCUUGCUGUUUGCUGUCAUUCUGCUUGAUAAAGAAAUUUGAUCCAGAGUCGUCAUCCCUACUGCUGCUUGAACUUCCUCCUCCUUCAUCUCCACCAGAAUUGUUUGUCCUGCUGGAACCUCCUGUAUUGGCUCCUCCGCCAUGGUCCUCAUCGCCUCCAUUUCCAUCAUCGUUUUUCUUGCCUCUACCCUUCUCAACAUGGUCCUCACUGUCCUCAUCUUCAACAACUUUCUCUGUCUCAUCAUCUUGAGCUGCCUCACUUUCCGGCACAUCAGCCUUGUUUACCUCUUCCUCAUCAACUUGUGGGGCACUGUCGUUCCCUCCUUGCACAUUGCCGAUGUCCUUGCCACUAUUGUCCUUGUUUUCUGUUGUUUUCUGUCAUUGCCUCCAUGACUGGUGUUGUCAUCAUCAUCAUCAUCUGAACCAUUGUUUCCACUAUCAUCCCCUGAGUUACCGCUGUCUGGUUCUGAUUCAUUGUCUUCGUCGUCGUCCUCAUCCUCGCUCUCUUCGUCUGACUUGAAUGAUUCCUCAUCCUCACUUGAGCUGUGUUCAAUCACUCUAGGUGUUGCUCGCUUCCUCCGAGAACUGGUAUGUUCACUUGGCUGUGGGUUAUUGUCUAUGUUCUUGCUUGAGCCAGGUUGCCCCUCGUCAAGCUUCCCUAAGCCCACUACGAGCUUCCCAAUAGCAUGUGACAUUUCAGUGCACAUUUCGUGAACCAACCCUGUUAUCCUAUUUUGCUUCUGCACACCAAAAAUAAAAAAUAAAAAAGUGUGUCAGAUAGUAAACUGAUUGGGAUCAGAAAAAUCCAAAAUGCAGCGAGAAAACAUAUAAAGGACUUUCUUGCUAUUGGAACUUACAUAGCUGUCGUAACUUUCAGGCAACCUAGCUGCAACAAAUUUUGAAACGUGGUCCAAGCUUCCAAACAAACUAUCGUUCGCACACCGUGAAAAUUCAGUCUUGAGUUGUUUUCAUCAAAACCAAAAACAAGGCGAAAGAAUAAAUAAAUGAACACCGUAUGAUCAACGCCGUAUAGGUCAGAGUAUAACUUGUCUAUGUUUAUAGUAUAAAUUUCCCUUGAUUUCACUUUGGAUUUGCCAUGUUUCAAUCAAAGAAAGGGAAGUGGGACAUUAUGAAGGUUGCCCUGUUUUGGACUGGUAAAACUGACAUAAUGAACUACACAUUUGCCAUGUUUCAAGUUAUGUUCUGUUUCCAGGCAAGUACUCUAAUAUAGUGUAAUUGCAGGAAAGUCCUGUUCGACUGCAGGCAAGUCCUGUAAUGCAAAUUUUUGAGCAAGUACUAUAAUGUAAUCAACAUCCAAUGUGUUGUACUGCUUGGAAGAGGGAAACUAUUACCUCCAAUCAUAUGUUUCUUCCACAUGCAAGUUAUGUUAGUGCUAAUACUAUGACUUGCCUUGACUUGUAACAAUAUGUUUGGCAUAAUUUGUAUAAAAACUGUUUCUGUUUUUAACCUAUAAAUUGUUUUUUGAUAAUUAACGUGUGUUUUGAUAUUAAAUAAUUCUUGCACGAACAGAACUUGCUCGCAGCUUGCCAUACACUCCUGGACCCUUCCUGUCUUUCUUCAUGACUUUUGUAAUUAGAUCAUCAUUCCAAAUACGUGCCCUUGGAAGUGUAUCAGGUAUUGGUUCAUUAACAUCCAAUGAAUCUAGGUACAAAAUCUACAACAGUUUUAAAAUGCAAAAACUAUUAGGUAAAACAUGGCUCUUUCAUGCUUGUAUUGAAAAGGAAAAACUAUAGAAAAGAAAACACAUUAGAAAUGAUUUUCCUCAUACUUACAACUAGAUGAAAAACACAACAGCAAACAGCCUUCUUCUUGUCACCAAAACCCAUGAAUGCCAAUCUUAGUUGAUCAAUAACAAAGUCGCAUAUCUUUGUAUCUUUUAUAGCACUUGUGUUGAGAAUAGCAGUGUAUCACCUUGGUGAGAUGCUCAAGCUUGUUGUUGGGGCAAGGAAGCAGGAGAAUGCAACAACAACCAAGCACGGAGGAAAUUGUCAUCGCACGCCCCAUUCAUCUUUUGAAUCAUUUUACACCAUGAAGUCAAUGUAGGGGCGUUUUUCCCUCGAUGUUGAAAAUACUGUUGAAUUCCCUUAUAACAUCUGGAUUCAUUUCAAAACAUACUUUCCUGCCACUGUUGGGCAAACCCCAUAUCCCCCUAACACUUUCUGCAUCUACUGGUAUUUUGCCUCUAUCUGGUAUAACAAUUUGAGACUUUUCUGGGUCGUAGUGUUUCAUAAUCCACUGGCUGAGAUCACCGGGCAUGCUUGUAGCUGUAAUAUCCAACAAGCCCCCAAAGUCUAUGUCUCUGAUAAUCUUUUUUUGGUCUUCGUCGAGAUCUUUGUUCAACUUAAAAAGCCUUGCAGGUGAUGACCUGUUCCUAGGACCCUGAAAAAUUGACAAUCUAAAGUUAUUUCUACUACAAGAGCAAAAAACAUUGGGGGGCACACUUUCGAAAAGCAUAUACAAGAGUUGCUUACUGGCGACACUGAUUUGCUUAAGCAUGCCUAAAUAAGUUAUAAAAAACAUCAACGGGUUUCUCUCAAAUAUACACCAGCCAAAAAAGUUGGAGAAUGAAAAAUCGAAACAGUUAUCAUGUACUGACAUGCCAUGCUUGUUGAAAACAUUUGAUUUGCUUAAAAACCACUAUAGUUGCACACACUUUCCCACUGCAUAUCAAGUUCUAGCGCGAACAGACACAUAAAAGUUGCUCACUGCCAACACUGUUUUUGCUUAAAACAUACCGUAGAACUUGGCUGCUCUUUUAUCUUUUCUCAAGAAAUUGCUAGUGCAUAAACUUCUGGCGCUUUUUGUUUGCUUAAACAUACACUGAUUUUAUCUGUACCAUGUGGCACAUGGGAAAAAGGCAUUCCAAUUCCCAUUUUCUUAAUUGACAAGAAGGGCGCAAAUUAUGUAUACAUGAAUCACAUAAGUUGCCUACCACCUACACCUCCUAAAAACGAUUUGAGAUGCAUGUACUGCAUGAGUUCCUGCUACAUAAGAAAAAUGUAGGCAACUUAUGUGUGAAAAGUAGAAACAUGAAAAUGCAACUCCACAUUUUGUUCCCAUGGUACUGUUUGCUAGUUGCUAGUAGCUAAAAAAACACAAAAUAACAUGCUGGUCAGAAAACAAAACAAUUUGUAGUCAUAUGAUCGCGGGAGGCGGGGGGUAGGGGGGAGGGAUACCUCAUUUUCAGUCACUUUCCAUUUUUUUUCUUUGGUUGUUCAUCUUGUGUAACAUCAGCUUCAUAAUCACCUCCUGCUGAUUCUGUUUCGUUGCUUUCAAUAUCCGCAGGCCGCUUCCCCCGGUUUAUGACCCGCUUGUGGCGCUUGCGUUUGUAAACAUGAGUUGUUGAACCACCUUGCUCUUCUGCUAUAGGUGCCUGUAAUAAAGUCACAAAUUUCGUUAACAAAAAAAAGUAACAACCUAAAGUGAAGUGCUAUUUACGUAGCAAAAAUCAAAAGGAAUACCUCCUAUUCAGCUUCGGGAGAGGGAGGUGGAACCGAGCCAAGCGGUGACUCUGCCGACUGCUGUUGAUCACGCUUUUUUACUUUGUUUAGCCAUCUUUACGUGUAAAAAAACAGUUUAAAAAAGCAGUUACAUACCAAAAAAGAUUGUCACCAUGGAAAAAAGUAUGAUUAUAAGCAUGCAAAUUGCCUGAUUAUUAGGAUGAAAACGCCUCAUUAUCUAGCAUUAUCAAGACGAAAAAAAGUCUGAUUAUCAGCACUCCUAUCAACACAAAAAACCCAUUGCCAUAAGUUUCCUGACUGUUGACAUGAACUUGCCCUGGACCAGUAAAGCACGAAGGGAAAAAACAGUGUGCACAUAAGUUGCCUGACAAGUGCAUGAACUUGCCUGGUCCAGAAGAAGAGUGAGAGGAAAGUGGAUAUAAAAUAGGUGGCAUGGUGAGUAUGGUACAACUCGGGGUCCCGGGCAGGACGGCAGUGCCCGAGCAUCAUACUGUACAAACCUCGCAGCCUAUCGAAUUCUGAUUACAAGUGAGAGGUGAGGUUGAUUCGAUCUCACUCGUGCCACCGCACAGAUCCUGGCCCCUUGGUCGGUCACCUACCUACGUGAAUGAAUUGCAUAGCAGGAGUAGCUCCCUUUUCCCGUUCAUUGAACAUGAAUUUUUGGCAAUCCAACUCGGCCAAUCAUCAACUACAGUGUGCACAUAAGUUGCCUGACAAAUGGCAUGAACUUGCCCGAUCCCAGGAAACACUAACAAAAACACCCGUGUGCAAUAAAAAUUGCUUGACGGUUCGCAUUAACUUGCCCGCUCACGAGAAACCCUGCUAACACCCUGUGUCAUGACUUGCCUGUUGGUGGUGAUAAACUUGCCUGCUACUGAAAAAUCACCAGCAAAAAACGCUGAAAUCUGCACGGGGUGAAAGUGAGGGAUGAGGGAGGACACGAACCCUCGAACUAGUUCGACAACGAAAUCACACGAAUCCGGCGCUUGCAUUGACAAACAUGAACAGAUAUGGAUAUUAAGGAGGGGAUUUCAUACCCAGUACCUACCCUAACCAACGUUGCUGCCCAAAACAUCGUGAUCUACGGGGAAAACCUACCUCGCACUAGCAAAUAGAUAGAAGCACAAAGUUGCUCCUAGACACAACAACAUGAACGGGAGAAAAUCCCAUCGCCAGAAAUGGAGAGAUGAGAGUAGGGGUGGGGGUUAAAAUCGCGUCAACGUACCUUCUCCUUCAUUCGCCACCGCACAAAACGAGGCCAGCCUCACUUCGCAACCGUUCGCCACCGCACAAAUCCGGCGACUCGAGCACUGCGCGGUCGCCGAGCUCACGAGCGAGAGCUGCUCCCCCGCGGCUAGCGUGCAGCGGGGUAGAGCAACUCAAGUCGACGGCCACCCGCGACGCCGAACGCCUCCUGAGAGAACCGAUGUGUGGCGGAUUUGGGCAGCAGCGAGGGUUCGAUUUGGGCGAUUUGGGCGAGGAAGAGGGGGAGAAGGAACCGCCCACACCGCCUAAUGAGGGAGAGAGCCGUUUGCGAGAGAGGAGAUAAAGGCGGGCCCCACCUAGGCGAUUCGCUCGGGCUCGACCGCAUUCCACCUGACCCCACCACCACGCGCCUCGCCCCGACCAGGUUACACCUGGGCCCGACCGCGCGCGGGAUCGCGACGGAUCAGACGGCUAUCGACGCGUGUGCUCGUGGCGCCCGUUUAGUGCACGCGCACUUUGAAGAAAUUGGGUUUUAAUAUUAUUUUUACCUAUUAAUUUUGAAAAUUUACUAUUUAUUACUACUUUUAUACAUGGAAAACGCUUCGCUUCUACACGCCGGCCGAAGCGUUCGCCCGGUCGCUAUUUCCUCCUUUCACGCGGAGACAGGCUGGUGCGCGUGUUUUUUUCACUUUUUUCCUUUUCUCUACUUCUUCUUCCUCCCGCAUCCUUCAGAUCCCAUCCCAUCCCCUGCAGCACGAGCUCGCCGGAGUCGACGGUUCAACCCCCUGCUGCUUUCAUGGGUGCUCGCCCAAUCUUAUCUUCGCUGCGACCGGCAAGCCUGUCGUUGCUGCAACCACGUCCCUCAUCAUCGGCGUUGAGCCUUUGCAUGCUACAACCAUGGCGGAGAAAGUGCUCCGGCCGGCAUCGCCCACGGUUACAACCAUGAUGUCGCAGUGCUACAAGCGGCAACUAUCCGUGCUGGAACGGUAUAUGGGGCGUGCUGCAACCGUGAGGCAAAAAUGCUACAUCGCGGAGACCACGGUAAAAUAUCUUUUUGGUGCAUUUUUAGGGGUAGAUGGUGCCAAUCAUUUAAAAGUAGGUUUUGACACGGUACCUAACCGAAGACGCUUCGCUCGGCCUCUGUGCCGCUCCGCUCAGGCCCAUUCGGGUAGCGACGAAACCUUAGCUAGUCAGCUGUCUUCAUCACUAGUGGAGAGGAGGACACUCGGGAAGCCUGUGUCAUGUGUGGUCAUCAAGGAUAGAGCAGGGUGCCCGGGUGUUCCACCUCCCCCUGGGUCAUCGCGCGGUGGCAAGCGAUGGUCAUUGGCUUGGCAUGUAGUCCUCUCCUUUGAUCGGUCACAUCAUAUCUUAAGCUCGUGCACCUCCUACCUUUCAAGCGCCAGCCUACCGAGUAUGAUCUAUGGGGGCCUUUGGUCGCGGGACUUUUGUCUCUGGUUGGGGUGCUGGAGGGGUGGCUAAAUCCGAGAGAAAUCUUUUGUUGGUGUUGCCAGCCACAAUCUUGACGACUCCAAUGGCUGUUGUCUCCCUCCUUGUAGGCGCGAUCAAGGUACCUACCCCUCCCUCGUCCCCAGGUGAAAGCAUUUAUCUGUUAUGGAGUGGAUGACAACAUGCGUUCUCACCUUCUUGGAGGCAUCAUUUUGGGAGAGAGGUCUACGAGCCAAGGCGGUGUGGUUGAUAGACACUCGGUGGCGGUGUGGUUCGAGUUGACGUCAACGUCUUGCGUGUCGUCGUGUUUCCAGUUCAAUUGCAACUUAUUUUGGUCGUUCGUGCUCGGUUUGUGUGGGCUUGCUCGUCGGCGGGUCAGUGCCCAAAAAUCUGGGAGAGGAGGGGAUAGGCCCCCCACUGCAGCAACAUGGCUAUAGUAGUAAGAACAUGGUGUUGAUCUCUGCACACUCGAAUAUCACACAUAGUAGUGGAUGCGACAACUCAUAUCCAUUGUGCCUUCUUCUCCGAGGUCCUCAUCCUUAGCAACGUUUUCUCUUCGUGGGUGGUCAGGAGUUUUAACAAGGCUCCUAUCAAGGCGAGCCUGUCAUAGUGGGGUGGUCAGGCUAAGAAUCUCCCAUGGUGGCCCGGGGUUGGUACGUACCCAUCCCGACUCUAGGGUGAACAAGGUAAAAGGGCAGGGGUCCUUUUCAGAUGUGGAACAGGCUGGUACAACGUCGAUUCACCUCUCCCGGAGCAAAUACGGGUGUGUUUCACCAUGUUGGUUGUGUAUUAACCUCAAGAUCUUGCUUUUACUUACACUCUAGAGAUUCGUUCGUGAUGGAGGGCAUCAUCAACAUCAAGUUGGACUCUCUCUUAUUUUCACUUUUGCCGCUUGCUUGUUGUUCAUAUUGCUUAUAAGUUGUUCAAUCAACUCAUUGCACCUGUUGUUCUGGGAUUUAUUAAUUUAAAGUCAGGUCAAAUACAGGUUAUGAAAUUCCAUAAUACCACUGCUUUAAACAUUGCAUCCAAAUCAAAAUAGAUUUUCACAUUUUUCUUUCUUUCGAUGAGUAUUCAAAACAAGAUGAUGAUUUUAUAAGUUUUCAAGAUUGCCUUUUUCCAUUUUACACUAGUUUCUAUUGUAUUUACUGCAUUUUUUACACUUUUUUUUUCCUGGGGUGCUUUUAUAGUUACGUGUGUUGGUUUUGACUGUAUACAUCCUAGCUAUGUAGAGGCCGGUUGUAUGUUAUUUGUGUUUGUAUCCUCUUGAUGCUCCAUUUUGAAUCAAAAAUGCAUCCUUUGUCGGAAAAUGUAUGUUGUUUUUUCUUGGACUGUUAUAUUGGUUCCUAGUGUUUAUUUUCUGUCCUAAUGUGUUUUACACUAGUUUUCACCAUAUUUUGACAUUACUUUGCACUUCAUCUUUACACUAGUUUCGGUUCCAUCUUUGCACUAGUUGAUGUUGCAUCUUUAUACAAUUCUCUACUGUAUUUUUACAUUAGUCUCUAGGUUCUAUUGCACCUUUGGGGUCUACUGGAUUUUACAAUAGUUAUCGCUACAUUGUUGCACUAUUUUCGACCUCAUCUUUAUGGUAGUUUCUGUUGCAUCUCUACACUAGUUCCAUGGAGUGCAUGUGCCAAUUUAGUAUUUGUCGGUGGGCGCUUAUGAAAUAAAUUCAGCACACGGAUAAUGUUGCAUUUUAUUAAUGAGAAUCUGCUUGGACAAUGUUGCAUUUUAUUUAUGAGAGUCUGUUUGGACAAUGUUGUAGAUAAUAGGACUACUACAUCAGAAGGACAACACCCUUCUUUAUCGUCAUGGAGGGAAUGGAAGGGUUUGGGCGUUCUGUUGUUCACGGGGCUGGGCAUGACCAUCUUCAUAUCGGUACUUUUGGAAGUUCUUGAGCUGGACGACGACCUGUCCCUCUAUCUCACCAAUUUCUUCGAUUUCGUAUACAUGCUUGCCGCUGUUGUUGCUUCAAAAGAGGGCCUCUACGGGUUCUCUGCAGCCGAGAAGGCAUCGUUAAUCAUUAGUGAAAAGUUCUAUGAGAUAACUGUGGUGGGUGCGAUGUGUUUUUUCGUCCAGGGAAGUCUAGAAGAGGUCUACGCGAGUGCAAGAUUUUUACCUCGAAAGAAGGAAGUGGUGUUGGCACUCGUGAUAAGGGAGGACACGGCGUCUGACAUCUUACGGUACUCCGUCGCCGCGGCCUUUCUCACCGCCAUUCUGCAGGUAUUCCAGUGCUUGGUGAUCUUGGCGUUUUACGGUGGUGGCACACGCCCAAUGGUAAGCAAGGCCUUAAUAAUGGUGUAAUGCAAGCUUCACGAGCAAUUUCACAUCAGCGGCCCCUAGGCAACGAUGUCAGGGGCCCAUUUGCAGGAUCGGCAGCCCCUAGGCAACGAUGUCAGGGGCGUGCCUGCGGCGACGCACACGCAGCCGCUCCUUGAAGGCCUGUUCGGUUGAUAGGGAAAAUGAAGGGGUUUGGCAGGGAUUGGCAGGGAUUACACCCUCUACAAGUCAAAACCUCCUCCAAUCCACCCCAAUCCCCCUGUGAGGAGGUGUAACCGAACAAAGCCUAAAGCAGAGGCAGCAAGGGCGGGCUCUGCUUCUGGCGGGAGUGAUGCCAGCUCGAGUGCUGGAGGCCUGUCUCGCACACCAAACACGAGGACGGCACGGCCCAGGAGAAAGACCAGGCCUAACCCGAAAUACGAUCCGCGUGUGUGGCAGUUGUUGUGACGGUUGUGGCGCUUCCCCCAUUGUUGUGCUGAACCCUCUACUGCCACGCUAACAAACGAUCACCGGCAGCUGCUGCGGUGUAUCGACUAGACGAAGAACAAAUGCUGUUCUGAAACUUGUUAUUUCGACA